UACGGAGGGUGCAAACGUUGCUCGGAAUCAUUGGGCGUAAAGCGCACGUAGGCGGUUCGUUAAGUCGGAUGGGAAAGCCCUCGGCUCAACCGAGGAAGGGCAUCCGAAACUGGCGUGCUUGAGUAUGGAAGAGGGUCUCGGAAUUCCCGGUGUAGAGGUGAAAUUCGUAAAUAUCGGGAGGAACACCAGUGGCGAAGGCGGAGACCUGGGCCAAUACUGACGCUGAGGUGCGAAAGCGUGGGGAGCAAACAGG
RNAcentral lists this ribosomal RNA (253 nucleotides) under uncultured bacterium. RNAcentral describes it as "partial 16S ribosomal RNA". It matches the Rfam family "Bacterial small subunit ribosomal RNA", at positions 524 to 776 of the family's 1533-position model. The record is from RNAcentral.